Molecule: non-coding RNA, 578 nt
Organism: Oryza sativa Japonica Group (Japanese rice)
Lineage: Eukaryota; Viridiplantae; Streptophyta; Magnoliopsida; Poales; Poaceae
Source: RefSeq, a predicted model, not a curated record
CAUACAUAAAGAUGAGUAGAAUCCUUUUGAAAACCUCAGCUUCUUUCUCCUCGCUGUGGCUCACGGAGCAGCGGAGGUCCGGAGCAAGCGAGGCUCGUACUGAGACCAACAACACAAGUUGUCGAUCGUCGCCAGGAGCAAGCAGGCGGUGGAUCGAGAGAGGCAGGCAGGCAGCAGCAGCGAAUCGGAUCGGAGAGGACGUUCGAUCGCCAUGGCAGCACACACAGUGGCCAUGGGAUGCCUCCCUAGAUGAUGGCCGUGGGUGAUGGAUAUCUGUUGAUGGGGAGGCCUAGAGAAUCUGCAGCACUUUGUCAGCUUGAUUCGAUAUGUGGCGCCGGAGUCGUCCUACUCGCGGGAUUCGGGCAAGGGUCGACCCACAUCGUUAGGCCUGAUCUACAUUGUUGGUGUUGUUGUAAUCUUUUAUUUGUUUUUGUGUAUUCUACCAAUAUAUCGCAUUGUGUAUGUUGAUUAGAUAGUUGUUGUAAUACUAAAUCUUGUUCAAACAUUUCUCGGAUGUUCAUACAUCUUUUACUCAAGCAGUCUGGGACUAAGAACAAUCAAUUUACUCAUUUACUCAA